CACAAUUCUAGUACUGUGGCAUUUAAAGCUGAAGGGUUCUCGUAUAUGUUGACUUAAGAAGGACCUUUUAUUGUAUUUGUUCUUGUCGCGAGCGUACGGCGUAUGGAACAAUGUAAUUCGAUCUAUUUAAAACUAGGCUUGUUUCAUAGGCGAUAGCCACCUGCUGUGAGAGUAUAGGGGGUAAUAGUUGUAGUUAUUUGCAGCGCAGAUAAAUCUGUAGUGACGCUAGCAGCAGAAAUAUUUGAGUACAGUUUCAUUUCCGGCAUAAGUCCAAUUCUAAAACAAAGAUGGCGGCGAUGCAUUGGGAAGCUAGGAGAAAGCAAAAAGUUAUUGACCGCUCGUUUUCAGAUUACCGAGAUCUCUCAAAGAAAAUAAAUGGCGAAAAUUGUGACUUCAGCAAGCCAGAAACUCAUCGAAAUAUCGGCAAUUAUUUACGUUCAUUGACGUCAAACACACGUCGGGAACAGACCGAUCAGGAAAUGAGAGAUCGGGUUCGAGAAGAUCACUUGCAUGUUUACUCUGCCAAGCUUCCAAAUCGAUACAGUUCGCUUAACUACAAGCAGCAGUGGUGAUUGUAAAGACCGGAAAAAAUAAACGAACUGCAAUCCUAUAUAUUCUUCAGUAUUAAAAUAGCAAACAUAUUUCGAGUUCUGUCAAAAAUGUCAUGAAGUUCACCCAUGUGUCAAAUACAUUGAACG
Ciona intestinalis (vase tunicate) is the source of this 698-nucleotide long non-coding RNA. RefSeq lists it as uncharacterized. NCBI's taxonomy places the organism in Eukaryota, Metazoa, Chordata, Ascidiacea, Phlebobranchia, Cionidae. The record is from RefSeq and is a predicted model, not a curated record.